GUCUACGGCCGUGCCACCCUGAACAAGCCCGAUCCUGUCUGAUCUUGGAAGCUAAGCAGGGUCGGGCCUGGUUAGUACUUGGAUGGGAGACCACCUAGGACGACCAGGUGCUGUAGGCA
RNAcentral lists this ribosomal RNA (119 nucleotides) under Pteropus alecto (black flying fox). Lineage: Eukaryota; Metazoa; Chordata; Mammalia; Chiroptera; Pteropodidae. The record is from RNAcentral.